UACAGAGGGGGCAAGCGUUAUUCGGAAUUAUUGGGCGUAAAGAGCUCGUAGGCGGUUUGUCGCGUCGACCGUGAAAACUUGGGGCUCAACCCCAAGCCUGCGGUCGAUACGGGCAGGCUCGAGUUCGGUAGGGGAGACUGGAAUUCCUGGUGUAGCGGUGAAAUGCGCAGAUAUCAGGAGGAACACCGAUGGCGAAGGCAGGUCUCUGGGCCGAUACUGACGCUGAGGAGCGAAAGCGUGGGGAGCGAACAGG
This 253-nucleotide ribosomal RNA is filed under the name uncultured bacterium. Its description in RNAcentral is "partial 16S ribosomal RNA". It matches the Rfam family "Bacterial small subunit ribosomal RNA", at positions 524 to 776 of the family's 1533-position model. The record is from RNAcentral.